RNAcentral lists this ribosomal RNA (497 nucleotides) under uncultured bacterium. RNAcentral describes it as "partial 16S ribosomal RNA". It matches the Rfam family "Bacterial small subunit ribosomal RNA", at positions 28 to 507 of the family's 1533-position model. The record is from RNAcentral.
GAUGAACGCUGGCGGCGUGCCUAAUACAUGCAAGUCGAGCGAACGGACGAGAAGCUUGCUUCUCUGAUGUUAGCGGCGGACGGGUGAGUAACACGUGGAUAACCUACCUAUAAGACUGGGAUAACUUCGGGAAACCGGAGCUAAUACCGGAUGAUAUUUUGAACCGCAUGGUUCAAAAGUGAAAGACGGUCUUGCUGUCACUUAUAGAUGGAUCCGCGCUGCAUUAGCUAGUUGGUAAGGUAACGGCUUACCAAGGCAACGAUGCAUAGCCGACCUGAGAGGGUGAUCGGCCACACUGGAACUGAGACACGGUCCAGACUCCUACGGGAGGCGGCAGUAGGGAAUCUUCCGCAAUGGGCGAAAGCCUGACGGAGCAACGCCGCGGGAGUGAUGAAGGUCUUCGGAUCGUAAAACUCUGUUAUUAGGGAAGAACAUAUGUGUAAGUAACUGUGCACAUCUUGACGGUACCUAAUCAGAAAGCCACGGCUAACUACGUG